Molecule: long non-coding RNA, 626 nt
Organism: Chlorocebus sabaeus (green monkey)
Lineage: Eukaryota; Metazoa; Chordata; Mammalia; Primates; Cercopithecidae
Source: RefSeq, a predicted model, not a curated record
UGACAUUUCAGUGCUGUGGAUUGGCUGCUGGCACAGAGAUACAGUGCCGUGUCUCCUGGUUCCGAGGACGGGAUUUCCAGGCUGCAAGAACCUACCAACCUGCUACACACUUAUUUCCUGAGCUGGGCCCAUAAGGAGUUUGUGUUCUAAGAAGGGCUAACGUUUGGCACUGUGGCUUUGCUGCUGGCACAGAAAUACAGUGCUGCGUCCCCUGACUCCGUGGACUGGAUCUCCAAGGUACAGGAUAACCCUGCUCGGAUAUUGAAAGACGACAGCAGCAAGCCCGGAGCCUGCUGAAAACAGAAGCCAGAGAGAGGAGAGCCCAGUAGGACCCGAGUCAGACAGGAUGACAGGCAGAGCUGAGCCUCACUCCCUCCCUGUGCUCCCAGCUCCUGGAGAAUCUGUUUGUUUUGUGCAAUCUUUCUGUCAUCUCCCUAGGGCCAUAAUCCCCCAUCUCCUCUGACCGGUGGCUCUCACCUUACCGUUUACACCUCUAGAGAGCAGAGCCGCUCCCUCUCCCUUUGAUGAGCAUAAACAAUCCACAUUGCCUGGCCACCACUUGACCAUGCCAACACACACACAUGCCCACCGAAGCUCCCAGGUAGAAGGAGGCUCAUACCUGUCCC